Molecule: transfer RNA, 71 nt
Filed under: Haloarcula marismortui
Lineage: Archaea; Methanobacteriati; Methanobacteriota; Halobacteria; Halobacteriales; Haloarculaceae
Also listed under: 41 other names
Description: tRNA-Gly
Rfam family: tRNA
About the family: Transfer RNA (tRNA) molecules are approximately 80 nucleotides in length. Their secondary structure includes four short double-helical elements and three loops (D, anti-codon, and T loops). Further hydrogen bonds mediate the characteristic L-shaped molecular structure. tRNAs have two regions of fundamental functional importance: the anti-codon, which is responsible for specific mRNA codon recognition, and the 3' end, to which the tRNAs corresponding amino acid is attached (by aminoacyl-tRNA synthetases). tRNAs cope with the degeneracy of the genetic code in two manners: having more than one tRNA (with a specific anti-codon) for a particular amino acid; and 'wobble' base-pairing, i.e. permitting non-standard base-pairing at the 3rd anti-codon position.
Source: RNAcentral
GCGCCGGUGGUCCAGUGGUAGGACAUUGCCUUCCCAAGGCAAUAGCCCGGGUUCAAUUCCCGGCCGGCGCA